This 497-nucleotide ribosomal RNA is filed under the name uncultured bacterium. Its description in RNAcentral is "partial 16S ribosomal RNA". It matches the Rfam family "Bacterial small subunit ribosomal RNA", at positions 28 to 507 of the family's 1533-position model. The record is from RNAcentral.
GAUGAACGCUGGCGGCGUGCCUAAUACAUGCAAGUCGAGCGAACAGAUAAGGAGCUUGCUCCUUUGACGUUAGCGGCGGACGGGUGAGUAACACGUGGAUAACCUACCUAUAAGACUGGGAUAACUUCGGGAAACCGGAGCUAAUACCGGAUAACAUAUUGAACCGCAUGGUUCAAUAGUGAAAGGCGGCUUUGCUGUCACUUAUAGAUGGAUCCGCGCCGUAUUAGCUAGUUGGUAAGGUAACGGCUUACCAAGGCAACGAUACGUAGCCGACCUGAGAGGGUGAUCGGCCACACUGGAACUGAGACACGGUCCAGACUCCUACGGGAGGCAGCAGUAGGGAAUCUUCCGCAAUGGGCGAAAGCCUGACGGAGCAACGCCGCGUGAGUGAUGAAGGCCUUCGGAUCGUAAAACUCUGUUAUCAGGGAGGAACAAAUGUGUAAGUAACUGUGCACAUCUUGACGGUACCUGAUCAGAAAGCCACGGCUAACUACGUG